Non-coding RNA from Arvicanthis niloticus (Nile rat), 334 nucleotides. NCBI's taxonomy places the organism in Eukaryota, Metazoa, Chordata, Mammalia, Rodentia, Muridae. The record is from RefSeq and is a predicted model, not a curated record.
UGCGCGUGCGCAGCCGUGAGAUCCUGUUUCUGUCGCCAGCCAGUUAAAGCCGUGACUUGCUGCUGGCAGGGGUGGAGGUGGGCGUUGGUUUCUAAGGCUCUCGUACUUUCCGUUACUACUCUUCUCUUGUGUUCCGGGUUGGCCUUACAUUUCUUCCAGUGUAUCUGAAAUAACCUUGAAAACUAAUUCUUCUGCCCCAGUCUCCAGAGUUCUGAGAUUAUCAACAUGAUUGUUACCACAUUGUGGCAGAGACAGAGACAACAUAGGGCUUUCUGGCUGCUUAGGAAUUAAAAAAUGCUAUAUAGAUGUUCAAGUAUAAACAUCUGAAAAAAAA